Molecule: ribosomal RNA, 432 nt
Filed under: uncultured bacterium
Lineage: Bacteria
Description: partial 16S ribosomal RNA
Rfam family: Bacterial small subunit ribosomal RNA
Source: RNAcentral
AACGAACGCUGGCGGCAUGCCUAACACAUGCAAGUCGAACGAGACCUUCGGGUCUAGUGGCGCACGGGUGCGUAACGCGUGGGAACCUGCCCUUAGGUUCGGAAUAACUCCCCGAAAGGGGUGCUAAUACCGGAUAAUGUCUUCGGACCAAAGAUUUAUCGCCUUUGGAUGGGCCCGCGUUGGAUUAGCUAGUUGGUAGGGUAAAAGCCUACCAAGGCGACGAUCCAUAGCUGGUCUGAGAGGAUGAUCAGCCACACUGCGACUGAGACACGGCCCAGACUCCUACGGGAGGCAGCAGUGGGGAAUAUUGGACAAUGGGCGAAAGCCUGAUCCAGCAAUGCCGCGUGAGUGAUGAAGGACUUGGGUUGUAAAGCUCUUUUACCCGGGAUGAUAAUGACGGUACCGGGAGAAUAAGCUCCGGCUAACUCCGUG